UACAGGAGGUGACAGCGUUCGUCGAAUUAUUGGGCGUAAAGAGCUCGUAGGCGGUCUGUCGCGUCUGCUGUGAAAACUCGGGGCUUAACCCCGGGCCUGCAGUGGGUACGGGCAGACUAGAGUGCGGUAGGGGAGACUGGAAUUCCUGGUGUAGCGGUGAAAUGCGCAGAUAUCAGGAGGAACACCAAUUGCGAAGGCAGCUCGCUGGGACGUAACUGACGCUGAGACGCGAAAGCGUGGGGAGCAAACAGG
RNAcentral lists this ribosomal RNA (252 nucleotides) under uncultured bacterium. Its description in RNAcentral is "partial 16S ribosomal RNA". It matches the Rfam family "Bacterial small subunit ribosomal RNA", at positions 524 to 776 of the family's 1533-position model. The record is from RNAcentral.